RNAcentral lists this transfer RNA (73 nucleotides) under Mniarogekko chahoua (Bavay's giant gecko). RNAcentral describes it as "tRNA-Asn". The record is from RNAcentral. Lineage: Eukaryota; Metazoa; Chordata; Lepidosauria; Squamata; Diplodactylidae.
UAGAUUGAAGCCCGCUGGUUUGGGUUUUUAGUUGUUAACUAAAGGUUUAUGGGAUCAAGGCCCGUCGGUCUAG